GUGUCUUCCUGGAGAUUGAUCUUGCGGUGGACCAUCUCCACAGUAACUCCUGCUGCUGCUCCUGCCUCUUCCAAUGCCUAAAUACAACGUCCCGCCGAUUCGGUGUAACGUCGUCACGGACUACUUUGUAUGGUGCAUCACCCUCUAUCACCCAGUCAGAGCAGGAGGAGGAGCCACCCUCGGGGUUUGAGUGACUCGCCACCCUCCUCCUCUCCCUUACCUACCACACAUGCGCUCCUCCUCCGCCCAUCAGAAUGGAACCACGACGUUAGCGAAGACUUACUGUAUUGAAGAUUUGAUAUUAACCAUGACUCACACAUCAUAAAAGGCUGAUCAUAUGAGAAUAUAAUACGGAAUCAACACAAAAAACCUGGCAAAUACGUCAAGACCUGGUUCACAGCCACCAUAUAUACUGUACUGUACAGUAUCUUCCCUCUUGUACUUAGUCGCUCUCAUCAUGUCUACAGCAAAUCUGAUUAGACCACUACAGUACAGCAGCUACAUUAUUUAGUGAACAAGUGUUGUUUCAUAAUAUUUUUAUUUUAACCAAUUCUAAAACCCUCAACCACCCCAUUAAAAACAAUUAUUUACUCAACAUAAAAACAGGUGUUUUGAAAUACAGUAGUAAUGUUAUCAGUGUCCAAAAGAGAACAGUUAAGGAAGUUUUUAGUGUAUGUUUUGGGGCUGCAGUCCUGUAGUCACUCUUCCUGCCAACGCCUCUCCCAUAUUUUACAAGACUUUCAAUGCCAUUUUGGGAUUUAACACAAAUUACCACAGCAGGAGAUAUUUUAGGAGCCCAUCUCUCAUGUUAAGCAUUGACUACCUAUAUUAAUGUUAUAAUGAGAUUUGGCAACCCUAGGAGCCCUGUUAGGGGGGUGUUUAUGGAUGGGAUUCUCGGGGGCAAACUCCCGUGGUCCGGCACCUCACUGGUCCCGAGGCUACUGAAUUAGAGAGGUUGGACCUGUAUAUGAAUCUAUGUCUCACAGA
This is a long non-coding RNA of Homarus americanus (American lobster), 987 nucleotides long. RefSeq lists it as uncharacterized. The transcript is spliced from 3 exons. Lineage: Eukaryota; Metazoa; Arthropoda; Malacostraca; Decapoda; Nephropidae. The record is from RefSeq and is a predicted model, not a curated record.